CAGCCGUAAACUAUGCGCGUUAGGUGUAUCGGUGACCACGAGUUACCGAGGUGCCGAAGGGAAACCGUGAAAUGUGCCGCCUGGGAAGUACGGUCGCAAGGCUGAAACUUAAAGGAAUUGGCGGGGGAGCACCACAACAGGUGGAGCCUGCGGUUUAAUUGGACUCAACGCCGGGAAGCUCACCGGAUAGGACAGCAGAAUGAUUGCCGGGCUGAAGACCCUGCAUGACUAGCUGAGAGGAGGUGCAUGGCGUAGACGUCU
Molecule: ribosomal RNA, 261 nt
Filed under: uncultured archaeon
Lineage: Archaea
Description: partial 16S ribosomal RNA
Rfam family: Archaeal small subunit ribosomal RNA
Source: RNAcentral